GAUGAAGAACAUAGCGAAAUGCGAUAAGUAAUGUGAAUUGCAGAAUUCAGUGAAUCAUCGAAUCUUUGAACGCACAUUGCGCCCCCUGGUAUUCCGGGGGGCAUGCCUGUCCGAGCGUCAUUACAACCCUCAAGCUCAGCUUGGUGUUGGGCCCCGCCGCCCCGGCGGGCCCUAAAGUCAGUGGCGGUGCCGUCCGGCUCCGAGCGUAGUAAUUCUUCUCGCUCUGGAGGUCCGGUCGUGUGCUCGCCAGCAACCCCCAAUUUUUUUCAGGUUGACCUCGGAUCAGGUAGGGAUACCCGCUGAACUUAAGCAUACAAUAAGCGGAGGA
RNAcentral lists this unclassified non-coding RNA (328 nucleotides) under soil metagenome. RNAcentral describes it as "partial contains 5.8S ribosomal RNA, internal transcribed spacer 2, and large subunit ribosomal RNA". The stretch from base 1 to 120 matches the Rfam family "5.8S ribosomal RNA", at positions 35 to 154 of the family's 154-position model. The record is from RNAcentral.